Molecule: ribosomal RNA, 585 nt
Filed under: bacterium Ac10
Lineage: Bacteria
Description: bacterial SSU rRNA
Rfam family: Bacterial small subunit ribosomal RNA
Source: RNAcentral
UGGCAGACGGGUGAGUAACGCGUGGGAAGCUACCUUGUGGUAGGGAACAACAGUUGGAAACGACUGCUAAUACCCUAUGAGCCCUAUGGGGGAAAGAUUUAUCGCCAUGAGAUGUGCCCGCGUUAGAUUAGCUAGUUGGUAAGGUAAUGGCUUACCAAGGCGACGAUCUAUAGCUGGUCUGAGAGGAUGAUCAGCCACACUGGGACUGAGACACGGCCCAGACUCCUACGGGAGGCAGCAGUGGGGAAUAUUGGACAAUGGGGGCAACCCUGAUCCAGCCAUGCCGCGUGAGUGAUGACGGCCUUAGGGUUGUAAAGCUCUUUCAGCAGUGAAGAUAAUGACAUUAACUGCAGAAGAAGCCCCGGCUAACUUCGUGCCAGCAGCCGCGGUAAUACGAAGGGGGCUAGCGUUGUUCGGAAUCACUGGGCGUAAAGCGUACGUAGGCGGACUGAUCAGUCAGGGGUGAAAUCCCGGGGCUCAACCCCGGAACUGCCUUUGAUACUGUCAGUCUUGAGAUCGAGAGAGGUGAGUGGAACUCCGAGUGUAGAGGUGAAAUUCGUAGAUAUUCGGAAGAACACCAGUGGC